Molecule: ribosomal RNA, 301 nt
Filed under: uncultured bacterium
Lineage: Bacteria
Description: partial 16S ribosomal RNA
Rfam family: Bacterial small subunit ribosomal RNA
Source: RNAcentral
CAGUCGCCGCGGGAAUACGUAGGUGGCAAGCGUUGUCCGGAUUUAUUGGGCGUAAAGCGAGCGCAGGCGGUUUCUUAAGUCUGAUGUGAAAGCCCCCGGCUCAACCGGGGAGGGUCAUUGGAAACUGGGAGACUUGAGUGCAUAAGAGGAGAGUGGAAUUCCAUGUGUAGCGGUGAAAUGCGUAGAUAUAUGGAGGAACACCAGUGGCGAAGGCGGCUCUCUGGUCUGUAACUGACGCUGAGGCUCGAAAGCGUGGGGAGCAAACAGGAUUAGAUACCCCCGUAGUCCCUGUCUCUUAUAC